Molecule: ribosomal RNA, 197 nt
Filed under: uncultured bacterium
Lineage: Bacteria
Description: partial 16S ribosomal RNA
Rfam family: Bacterial small subunit ribosomal RNA
Source: RNAcentral
CUGAAAUUCGCCUUCAUGAAGCCGGAAUUGCUAGUAAUGGCAGGUCAGCAUACUGCCGUGAAUACGUUCCCGGGGCCCUUGUACACACCGCCCGCCACACCAUGAGAGUUGGGAAUACCCGAAGCCUGUGAGCUAACUUUUAGAGGCAGCAGUCGAAGGUAGAAUCAAUGAUUGGGGUGAAGUCGUAACAAGGUAUC